GCCUUAGCUCAGUGGUAGAGCACCUGCUUUGCAUGCAGAAGGUCCUGGGUUCAACCCUCCCCCCCGCACCCCCAGGUGGGGCU
This is a non-coding RNA of Podarcis lilfordi (Lilford's wall lizard), 83 nucleotides long. Lineage: Eukaryota; Metazoa; Chordata; Lepidosauria; Squamata; Lacertidae. The record is from the annotation of a GenBank genome assembly.